UCCUACGGGAGGCAGCAGUGAGGAAUAUUGGUCAAUGGGUGAGAGCCUGAACCAGCCAUCCCGCGUGCAGGAUGACGGUCCUAGUGAUUGUAAACUGCUUUUCUAUGAGAUGAAUAAGAAUUACGUGUAGUUCGAUGACCGUAUUAUAGGAAUAAGCAUCGGCUAACUCCGUGCCAGCAGCCGCGGUAAUACGGAGGAUGCAAGCGUUAUCCGGAUUUAUUAGGUUUAAAGGGUGCGUAGGUGGGCGUUUAAGUCAGUGGUUAAAGCCAUUAGCUUAACUAAUGUAUGCCAUUGAUACUGGAUGUCUUGAAUGUGGUAGAGGUAGGCGGAAUGUGUUGUGUAGCGGUGAAAUGCUUAGAUAUAACACAGAACACCGAUUGCGAAGGCAGCUUACUAUUCCAUUAUUGACGCUGAUGCACGAAAGCGUGGGGAUCAAACAGGAUUAGAUACCCUGGUAGUCCACACUGUAAACGAUGAUAACUAGCUGUUGGCGAUACACAGUCAGUGGCCAAGCGAAAGCGAUAAGUUAUCCACCUGGGGAGUACGACCGCAAGGUUGAAACUCAAAGGAAUUGACGGGGGCCCGCACAAGCGGAGGAACAUGUGGUUUAAUUCGAUGAUACGCGAGGAACCUUACCCGGGUUUGAAAUGCAAUCGACCGAUUAUGAAAGUAGUUUUCCAGCAAUGGCGAUUGUGUAGGUGCUGCAUGGUUGUCGUCAGCUCGUGCCGUGAGGUGUCGGCUUAAGUGCCAUAACGAGCGCAACCCUUGCCGUUAGUUGCUAGCAGGUUAAGCUGAGGACUCUAGCGGGACUGCCAUCGUAAGGUGCGAGGAAGGUGGGGAUGACGUCAAAUCAGCACGGCCCUUAUGUCCGGGGCGACACACGUGUUACAAUGGGGGGUACAGCGGGCAGCUACCGGGCGACCGGAUGCUAAUCUCUUAAAUCCUCUCUCAGUUCGGAUCGGAGUCUGCAACUCGACUCUGUGAAGCAGGAUUCGCUAGUAAUCGCGCAUCAGCCACGGCGCGGUGAAUACGUUCCCGGGCCUUGUACACACCGCCCGUCAAGCCAUGGAAGCCGGGGGUACCUGAAGUACGUUACCGUUUAGGAUCGUCCUAGGGUAAGACUGGUAACUGGGGGCUAAGUCGUAACAAGGUAACCA
This 1157-nucleotide ribosomal RNA is filed under the name uncultured bacterium. RNAcentral's name for it is "partial 16S rRNA". It matches the Rfam family "Bacterial small subunit ribosomal RNA", at positions 337 to 1502 of the family's 1533-position model. The record is from RNAcentral.